This 2438-nucleotide ribosomal RNA is filed under the name Craterolophus convolvulus. RNAcentral describes it as "bacterial LSU rRNA". It matches the Rfam family "Bacterial large subunit ribosomal RNA", at positions 1 to 2466 of the family's 2925-position model. The record is from RNAcentral. Lineage: Eukaryota; Metazoa; Cnidaria; Staurozoa; Stauromedusae; Craterolophidae.
UUAAGCGACUAAGCGUACACGGUGGAUGCCCUGGCAGUCAGAGGCGAUGAAGGACGUGCUAAUCUGCGAUAAGCGUCGGUAAGGUGAUAUGAACCGUUAUAACCGGCGAUUUCCGAAUGGGGAAACCCAGUGUGUUUCGACACACUAUCAUUAACUGAAUCCAUAGGUUAAUGAGGCGAACCGGGGGAACUGAAACAUCUAAGUACCCCGAGGAAAAGAAAUCAACCGAGAUUCCCCCAGUAGCGGCGAGCGAACGGGGAGCAGCCCAGAGCCUGAAUCAGUAUGUGUGUUAGUGGAAGCGUCUGGAAAGGCGCGCGAUACAGGGUGACAGCCCCGUACACAAAAAUGCACAUAUUGUGAGCUCGAUGAGUAGGGCGGGACACGUGGUAUCCUGUCUGAAUAUGGGGGGACCAUCCUCCAAGGCUAAAUACUCCUGACUGACCGAUAGUGAACCAGUACCGUGAGGGAAAGGCGAAAAGAACCCCGGCGAGGGGAGUGAAAAAGAACCUGAAACCGUGUACGUACAAGCAGUGGGAGCACGCUUAGGCGUGUGACUGCGUACCUUUUGUAUAAUGGGUCAGCGACUUAUAUUCUGUAGCAAGGUUAACCGAAUAGGGGAGCCGAAGGGAAACCGAGUCUUAACUGGGCGUUAAGUUGCAGGGUAUAGACCCGAAACCCGGUGAUCUAGCCAUGGGCAGGUUGAAGGUUGGGUAACACUAACUGGAGGACCGAACCGACUAAUGUUGAAAAAUUAGCGGAUGACUUGUGGCUGGGGGUGAAAGGCCAAUCAAACCGGGAGAUAGCUGGUUCUCCCCGAAAGCUAUUUAGGUAGCGCCUCGUGAAUUCAUCUCCGGGGGUAGAGCACUGUUUCGGCAAGGGGGUCAUCCCGACUUACCAACCCGAUGCAAACUGCGAAUACCGGAGAAUGUUAUCACGGGAGACACACGGCGGGUGCUAACGUCCGUCGUGAAGAGGGAAACAACCCAGACCGCCAGCUAAGGUCCCAAAGUCAUGGUUAAGUGGGAAACGAUGUGGGAAGGCCCAGACAGCCAGGAUGUUGGCUUAGAAGCAGCCAUCAUUUAAAGAAAGCGUAAUAGCUCACUGGUCGAGUCGGCCUGCGCGGAAGAUGUAACGGGGCUAAACCAUGCACCGAAGCUGCGGCAGCGACGCUUAUGCGUUGUUGGGUAGGGGAGCGUUCUGUAAGCCUGCGAAGGUGUGCUGUGAGGCAUGCUGGAGGUAUCAGAAGUGCGAAUGCUGACAUAAGUAACGAUAAAGCGGGUGAAAAGCCCGCUCGCCGGAAGACCAAGGGUUCCUGUCCAACGUUAAUCGGGGCAGGGUGAGUCGACCCCUAAGGCGAGGCCGAAAGGCGUAGUCGAUGGGAAACAGGUUAAUAUUCCUGUACUUGGUGUUACUGCGAAGGGGGGACGGAGAAGGCUAUGUUGGCCGGGCGACGGUUGUCCCGGUUUAAGCGUGUAGGCUGGUUUUCCAGGCAAAUCCGGAAAAUCAAGGCUGAGGCGUGAUGACGAGGCACUACGGUGCUGAAGCAACAAAUGCCCUGCUUCCAGGAAAAGCCUCUAAGCAUCAGGUAACAUCAAAUCGUACCCCAAACCGACACAGGUGGUCAGGUAGAGAAUACCAAGGCGCUUGAGAGAACUCGGGUGAAGGAACUAGGCAAAAUGGUGCCGUAACUUCGGGAGAAGGCACGCUGAUAUGUAGGUGAGGUCCCUCGCGGAUGGAGCUGAAAUCAGUCGAAGAUACCAGCUGGCUGCAACUGUUUAUUAAAAACACAGCACUGUGCAAACACGAAAGUGGACGUAUACGGUGUGACGCCUGCCCGGUGCCGGAAGGUUAAUUGAUGGGGUUAGCGCAAGCGAAGCUCUUGAUCGAAGCCCCGGUAAACGGCGGCCGUAACAAUAACGGUCCUAAGGUAGCGAAAUUCCUUGUCGGGUAAGUUCCGACCUGCACGAAUGGCGUAAUGAUGGCCAGGCUGUCUCCACCCGAGACUCAGUGAAAUUGAACUCGCUGUGAAGAUGCAGUGUACCCGCGGCAAGACGGAAAGACCCCGUGAACCUUUACUAUAGCUUGACACUGAACAUUGAGCCUUGAUGUGUAGGAUAGGUGGGAGGCUUUGAAGUGUGGACGCCAGUCUGCAUGGAGCCGACCUUGAAAUACCACCCUUUAAUGUUUGAUGUUCUAACGUUGACCCGUAAUCCGGGUUGCGGACAGUGUCUGGUGGGUAGUUUGACUGGGGCGGUCUCCUCCUAAAGAGUAACGGAGGAGCACGAAGGUUGGCUAAUCCUGGUCGGACAUCAGGAGGUUAGUGCAAUGGCAUAAGCCAGCUUGACUGCGAGCGUGACGGCGCGAGCAGGUGCGAAAGCAGGUCAUAGUGAUCCGGUGGUUCUGAAUGGAAGGGCCAUCGCUCAACGGAUAAAAGGUAC